This 253-nucleotide ribosomal RNA is filed under the name uncultured bacterium. RNAcentral describes it as "partial 16S ribosomal RNA". It matches the Rfam family "Bacterial small subunit ribosomal RNA", at positions 524 to 776 of the family's 1533-position model. The record is from RNAcentral.
UACGGGGGGGGCAAGCGUUGUUCGGAAUUACUGGGCGUAAAGGGCUCGUAGGCGGCCAACUAAGUCGGAUGUGGAAUCCCCAGGCUCAACCUGGGAACUGCAUCCGAUACUGGAUGGCUUGAAUCCGGGAGAGGGAUGCAGAAUUCCAGGUGUAGCGGUGAAAUGCGUAGAUAUCUGGAGGAAUACCGGUGGCGAAGGCGGCAUCCUGGACCGGCAUUGACGCUGAGGAGCGAAAGCUAGGGGAGCAAACGGG